This 76-nucleotide transfer RNA is filed under the name Metallibacterium scheffleri. Its description in RNAcentral is "tRNA-Ala". It matches the Rfam family "tRNA". From Rfam's summary of the family: Transfer RNA (tRNA) molecules are approximately 80 nucleotides in length. Lineage: Bacteria; Pseudomonadati; Pseudomonadota; Gammaproteobacteria; Lysobacterales; Rhodanobacteraceae. RNAcentral also lists the same sequence under 8 other names. The record is from RNAcentral.
GGGGCGGUAGCUCAGCUGGGAGAGCGUCGCGUUCGCAAUGCGAAGGUCCGGGGUUCGAUCCCCCGCCGCUCCACCA